ACCGCCUCUUCCAGAAGUAAUUAUUAUUAUACUCAAAUCUUUUCCCUAAUUCUUGUCUGCCUUAUAGAAGCUUGGUUUCAAAGCUAGGGUUUGAGGCUUAAAAUCUUCUGGUUAUAGUUUGAUGCAGCCUUGCUGCUAAUCAUGGCAGUCGGGGAGAACAAGCGCAUCUAAAAGGGCAAGAAGGGAGGAAAGAAGAAAGCCUGAGUAGUUAGAUGUAAUUUUUCCCUUUUCCUCCUUUUGAAAGGAAUUGCAAUAGACACAUGAGGAGUUAAUGGCGUGAUGGCAUUAUAUAGGGUCGAUCCAUUUACGAAGAAGGAUUGGUAUGACAUAAAGGCUCCAUCUUCCUUCAACACGAGGACCAUGGGGAAGACGCUCGUUACCAGAAAGCAGGGAACCAAGUUAGCACAUGACAUCUUUUCAUUCAUUACAAAUUUAACACUUCCAAAAUAUUUGUAGUUACCGUGCCAUCUAGUUUUUCUGCAAAUGUAUAUUUAUUAGCUUUUGUGAAAAUAUUUAAAAGAAAAACCUUGUCUAUCCGAUUUCGGUUUUCUUUCGUCUUUA
Molecule: long non-coding RNA, 561 nt
Organism: Cryptomeria japonica (Japanese cedar)
Lineage: Eukaryota; Viridiplantae; Streptophyta; Pinopsida; Cupressales; Cupressaceae
Exons: 2
Source: RefSeq, a predicted model, not a curated record